UACAGAGGUGGCAAGCGUUGUUCGGAAUUACUGGGCGUAAAGGGCGCGUAGGCGGCCCUCUAAGUCAGACGUGAAAUCCCCAGGCUCAACCUGGGAACUGCGUCUGAUACUGGACGGCUUGAGUAUGGGAGAGGGAUGUAGAAUUCCAGGUGUAGCGGUGAAAUGCGUAGAUAUCUGGAGGAACACCGGUGGCGAAGGCGGCAUCCUGGACCAACACUGACGCUGAGGCGCGAAAGCUAGGGGAGCAAACGGG
This 253-nucleotide ribosomal RNA is filed under the name uncultured bacterium. Its description in RNAcentral is "partial 16S ribosomal RNA". It matches the Rfam family "Bacterial small subunit ribosomal RNA", at positions 524 to 776 of the family's 1533-position model. The record is from RNAcentral.